Molecule: transfer RNA, 71 nt
Filed under: Candidatus Sungbacteria bacterium RIFCSPHIGHO2_01_FULL_47_32
Lineage: Bacteria; Candidatus Sungiibacteriota
Also listed under: 2 other names
Description: tRNA-Pro
Rfam family: tRNA
About the family: Transfer RNA (tRNA) molecules are approximately 80 nucleotides in length. Their secondary structure includes four short double-helical elements and three loops (D, anti-codon, and T loops).
Source: RNAcentral
CGGGCUAUAGUAUAUUGGUAGUACAACAGGCUGGGGGUCUGUUAGGCUGGGUUCGAUUCCCAGUAGCCCGA